UAAGACGAACCGUGCGAACGUUGUUCGGAAUCACUGGGCUUAAAGGGCGCGUAGGCGGGGUGGCAAGUCUGUGGUGAAAUCCUCCGGCUCAACCGGAGAACUGCCGUGGAUACUGCCACUCUCGAGGGGUGUAGGGGCAUGUGGAACUUAGGGUGGAGCGGUGAAAUGCGUAGAUAUCCUAAGGAACGCCGGUGGCGAAAGCGACGUGCUGGACACCUACUGACGCUGAGGCGCGAAAGCCAGGGGAGCGAACGGGAUUAGAUACCCCGGUAGUCCUGGCCCUAAACGAUGGGUACUAGAUUGUGGGCUGGACAUGGGCCACAGUCGAAGCAAAAGUGAUAAGUACCCCGCCUGGGGAGUAUGGUCGCAAGGCUG
RNAcentral lists this ribosomal RNA (375 nucleotides) under uncultured bacterium. RNAcentral describes it as "bacterial SSU rRNA". It matches the Rfam family "Bacterial small subunit ribosomal RNA", at positions 521 to 896 of the family's 1533-position model. The record is from RNAcentral.